GUGGGGAAUCUUCCGCAAUGGACGAAAGUCUGACGGAGCAACGCCGCGUGAGUGAAGAAGGUUUUCGGAUCGUAAAGCUCUUUCGUUAGGGACGAACGUGCUCUUUGUGAAUAAUGAGGAGUAAUGACGGUACCUAAAUAAGAAGCCACGGCUAACUACGUGCCAGCAGCCGCGGUAAUACGUAGGUGGCAAGCGUGGUCCGGAAUUAUUGGGCGUAAAGCGCGCGCAGGCGGGAUAUCAAGUCUGUCUUAAAAGUGCGAGGCUAAAACUCGUGAGGGGACAGAAACUGGUAUUCUUGAGUGUCGGAGAGGAAAGUGGAAUUCCAAGUGUAGCGGUGAAAUGCGUAGAGAUUUGGAAGAACACCAGUGGCGAAGGCGACUUUCUUGACGAUGUCUGACGCUGAGGCGCGAAAGCUAGGGGAGCAAACAGGAGUAGAAACCCUGGUAGUCC
RNAcentral lists this ribosomal RNA (450 nucleotides) under uncultured bacterium. RNAcentral describes it as "partial 16S ribosomal RNA". It matches the Rfam family "Bacterial small subunit ribosomal RNA", at positions 354 to 796 of the family's 1533-position model. The record is from RNAcentral.